UUGUUUGGAGAGUUUGAUCCUGGCUCAGGACGAACGCUGGCGGCGUGCUUAACACAUGCAAGUCGAGCGGAAAGGCCCUUCGGGGUACUCGAGCGGCGAACGGGUGAGUAACACGUGAGUAACCUGCCCCUGACUUCGGGAUAAGCCUGGG
Molecule: ribosomal RNA, 151 nt
Filed under: Spongiactinospora rosea
Lineage: Bacteria; Bacillati; Actinomycetota; Actinomycetes; Streptosporangiales; Streptosporangiaceae
Description: Sphaerisporangium sp. LHW63015 partial 16S ribosomal RNA
Rfam family: Bacterial small subunit ribosomal RNA
Source: RNAcentral